GCGUCUAUUGAUAACGAAACGAUAAUUUGUCAACAAUGAGAAUCAGAUACUUGGCUUAAUAAUUUUCAUUUAAAAUGUCUAAUUUGGAUAUAAUUCGGAAUACAAAACGAAACUUAAAAGCGUGACCACAUGUGACAACAGCGAUGCUAGUUGGAUAUAAAAUUGGUAGACGUGUCGUUGAACUCGACACAUUGACCGAAUCGCUUUUAGCAUGCAGUGCUUGUCAAGUGCCCAUGAAUUUACUUAACACUGUAGAAAGCAUGGAUUUCGGACAGGCAUGUGUUUUGGACAUACAGUUUAGCAAUUGUGGUGCAGUAAAUAAUGCGGCUACUGGACGGAAACAUGGCAGAGUUUAUGACAUGAUCACAAAGCUUGCAUUUGGGUAAAUCAAAAACUGGGUGUUUCACCUGGGACUUUCACAUCGAAACUGGCCCUUCUCCAUGACCUUCAGCACAAAAAAAGAAAGGCUAUAGCUGUUACUCGUGCAGCAAAACAGUGACGCAUAAGACUUAAAACUCGAACGGCAUUCAAAGGACAGUGCAAGAAGUACGAGCGGGACCAACAUACAGUUCAAACAUAGAGGACCAAGACGUUGAAGUUACAACUAUACCCCCACCUAUACCCAAGCCUGGUCCAGCAGGGCUAGACACUACUGGGAAGGAAUUUGUUUUCUUUGAUUUGGAAACAAGAGGGUUAGAGCACACUUCUCACAUAAUUCAGAUAGCUGCAGUGCAUUCAACUGGUCAAUUUUCAACAUAUGUGAUUCAUGAGAAGAAGAUUUCCUUGCAAGCGUCAGAAAUAACUGGAGUGACAGUUGUUAGCGACUCUAUGCUUGUCAAGAGACAAACAGUAACAGCUGUCCCCAUCAAAUCUGCAUUGACAAGUUUUAUAACAUUCUUACAGAAAUGUUCACCAAUUAUUUCAGUUGGGCAUAAUAUAGAGUCUUUUGAUUGUAAAGUGUUGCUCCGUGCUAUCCAUACUUGUUGAAAAAUGUUUGAGUUUCAGCAAAAUAUUUGUGGCUUUUUAGAUACUUAAAAAUGUUAAAGGAAAUAUUACCAAAUAUGAAAUCAUAUAAGCGGGAACAUUUAGUUAAAGACGUCAUUGGUGAAUUAUACAUGGCACAUGGCGCUAUACAGGAUAUUUUAGCUUUACAAAAGUUAGUGAACUCUGUUCCUGUUGACCAAAAAUUGUUAACAAAUAUUCAUUCAGCUUUUACCGAGCAGUGUUAACAUACAAUGUGUAACUAAAUGUUGCUUCCAA
Molecule: long non-coding RNA, 1260 nt
Organism: Dreissena polymorpha
Lineage: Eukaryota; Metazoa; Mollusca; Bivalvia; Myida; Dreissenidae
Exons: 5
Source: RefSeq, a predicted model, not a curated record